CGAAAACCACCUCCCUACACAUUUCUAGAGAUACACCCCCCAAGCCUCAUUGAAACCCAACUGGAAGAUUGGAAGAUUCUUGAUUUUUUUUUUCUGGUUUUUUUUUCUUGAGACAGAGUCUCGCUCUGUCACCUAGGCUGGAGUGCAGUGGCACGAUCUCAGCUCACUGCAAGCUCCGCCUCCCGGGUUCAUGCCAUUCUCCUGCCUCAGCCUCAGUCUGUAGCUGGGACUACAGACGCCUGCCACCACGUCCGGCAAUUUUUUUUUUUUUUUUGGUAUUUUUAAUAGAGAUGGGGUUUCACCGUGUUAGCCAGGAUGGUCUUGAUCUCCUGACCUCGUGAUCCGCCCACCUCGGCCUCCCAAAGUGCUGGGAUUACAACCACCGUGCCCAGCUUUUUUUUUUCUUUUCUUUUUCUUUUUCUUUUUUUUUUUUUUUUUUUUAGCAUCUCUUCGAAUUCACUUUCUGAAUGCUUUGUUUCAUUGUUUGCAAAGAGUCAACAGGAAGAAUGCAUUUUCCCCCUCAGUAACAGAAGAGAAAACGCAGGCUCUAUUUGCUCCGACUUCCCCUUUUCCAAAGUGAAAGGAAGAGUUUUUCAACUGAAGAACCUCUUCAUUGAGAUCUCAAAAGAAGCUUGCUAAUAACACUAAUUUAUCGAUCAAGUUUCCAGAUGAAAUUAGCACCUACUUCUUCAAGAAGACAGACAAGAAGUGUGAAGAGGGAACGUGGCAAUCAUAAUCAGCACUAGUGAAAAUAUUCUGCCCCAUGAAUAGCAACAGUUCAAUCAGCUGCGUGGUAGAGCUUGAGCUGGCAUUUAUGAAAAUGUUUGCUUGCUCUCAGCCAUUUUCUCUAAGUUGAGGCCUGUGCUCAUUUACAAAGAAGACCUAUUGGAAUAAUCCCUUGGCUGUCUAAGUCGAGACACAGGAAUCAGGAAUCACACUGGAGCUUCACAUUCCUGUGAUUUUCUGAUGACGCCUUCCUGGACCAGCAGCAAACCCAGAGGACAGCAUACGACUAGGGGGUAGCACGCUAUUUCCCAUCUCUAUGCUUUAUGGGAGAGGAUGAGUGACUUACAGUCACUGUAAGUAAACUUGCGCUGGUAAUUGAAUUAGAGCUGAGAGAGGGUUUUCAGACAGGGCCACUAGUUUGUUUGCAAAAUGAGUUGAUUCGAUCUUGGCUUAGCAGCUGCAAGUCAAACAACCUAUUGAGCAAACCCAAGGUAAAUUUCAGCACCCUUUAGUAUCAAUGGCAUUCGAGAAUGAACACAUUCAGACGCUUUGAUUUUUAAGAUGUCAUUUAUUUAAAGCAAAAUCAGUUUAUAUUCUCAAGGGGUGGAUUUCAAAGAUAUAAAAAGAAAAGUCAUUUUCGGAACAAACAAUUUUGUUCAAUUUCUAUAUAAAACCUAAAUUACACUUUUUUUUUUUUUGGAGAGUAGACUCUGUGAUAUGGGAAAUGGCUUCACUGAAAUUCAGAUUUCUACAUGCAAAAGCUGACUCAUUUUGUUAUGGGAUUAGCUAAAAUGUUUAAAGAGCCCCGAUGAAACAGAUGAACUAAUUUGUGAAAAGGCAAAAAGUGUAAUCACGGUUCAGACUACAUGAAUAGUCAGUGCACGAACCAAAGCGAUGAGGCCUUUGUAACCUCACAGAGAUUCAGUCACCUGAUCAUUCCUCUUUCAAAGCAGUUUCAAAAGUACAGUGUGUUAUUCUGGUGACUGGCAUAGGUCUUGCUUAUGUACAAAAAUCAGAAAAAGUGGCUCCUGUGCUUACUAAUUUCCAAGGUUGUUGCAUGUCGGUGAAAAGUUGGUGGGGAUUAGGACAAAGCACUGUGGAAACAAAUUUUAGAGUUGUGGCAUUUUCAGGCAACAAAUAAGUGCAAGUCCACAUCAUAAAAAAUUCUAAUUUACCCUUUUUGGGGGUCAAUUUGUAUUUUUUUUUUUUGAGACAGAGUCUCGUUCUGUCACCCAGGUUGGAGUACAGUGGUGCGAUCCCAGCUCACUGCAGCCUCCACCUCUUGGGUUCAAGCGUUUCUCCUGCCUCACUCAGCCUCCCGAGUAGCUGGGAUUACAGGCAUGUGCCACCAUGCCUGGCUAAUUUUUGUAUUUUUAGUGGAGGCGCGGUUUCACCAUGUUGGCCGGGCUGGUCUCAAAUUUUUGACCUCAGGUGAUUCACCCACCUCGGCCUCCCAAAGUGCUGGGAUUACAGGCGUGAGCCACUGCGCCUGGCCAAAUUUGUAUUUUUUUAUAUAAAGUAAGGUUUACAAAUAUGACCUAAAUGAAAACCAGAUAAAAUUGACAAUGGCAAAUAAUUACCAAUUUUAAAUGUGGCAAGAAUGACAGAGACGGCACUAAAGGAGCUCAAUAAAGCCUUGGGUUCUGGACUCAGAUCUGUCUUUUAAUCAUUGUGGCACAUUGGGCAAGUCACUAAACCUCAGUGAGGCACAGUUUUUCAUUAUUGCAAGGAUGGAAUGGAAGCCACAAAGCAUUUUUCUGAUUUUCCCUACACUUGAGAGUUGUGUAGGAAACAAAGUGGAUGAAAUGUAUGCAAAGAAAUCAAAGUAGGUAAAACUGACAUGAAUUUGCACAUUUGAAAGGCUCAUCACUCCUUCAUAAGAUAGACAGUUAUUCUCAGCUUCUGAACUGAAACUUCACGAGUGGGAUUAUCAGAGUAAAAGGACUUUUUAGUUCUUCGGUAUUGAAACCCCUUUAAACAGGAUGUAAGUUCUCCCUACGUCAUCAACAACGAAUAGCACACGUGCUGUACAGUGAAAGUUAGAAUGAUACGCUUCUUAAUUGCAGAAGUAUUCCCGUCAAAAGACAAUAAAGCAUAUUUUGGAAGAAGUGGGACUCUAGUAAAAACACAC
This 2857-nucleotide long non-coding RNA is filed under the name Homo sapiens (human). RNAcentral's name for it is "HSALNT0247177". The record is from RNAcentral. Lineage: Eukaryota; Metazoa; Chordata; Mammalia; Primates; Hominidae.